RNAcentral lists this ribosomal RNA (492 nucleotides) under uncultured bacterium. RNAcentral's name for it is "partial 16S ribosomal RNA". It matches the Rfam family "Bacterial small subunit ribosomal RNA", at positions 29 to 507 of the family's 1533-position model. The record is from RNAcentral.
AGUGAACGCUGGCGGUAGGCCUAACACAUGCAAGUCGAACGGCAGCACAGUAAGAGCUUGCUCUUACGGGUGGCGAGUGGCGGACGGGUGAGGAAUACAUCGGAAUCUACUUUUUCGUGGGGGAUAACGUAGGGAAACUUACGCUAAUACCGCAUACGACCUACGGGUGAAAGCAGGGGAUCUUCGGACCUUGCGCGAUUGAAUGAGCCGAUGUCGGAUUAGCUAGUUGGCGGGGUAAAGGCCCACCAAGGCGACGAUCCGUAGCUGGUCUGAGAGGAUGAUAGGCCACACUGGAACUGAGACACGGUCAAGACUCCUACGGGAGGCAGCAGUGGGGAAUAUUGGACAAUGGGCGCAAGCCUGAUCCAGCCAUACCGCGUGGGUGAAGAAGGCCUUCGGGUUGUAAAGCCCUUUUGUUGGGAAAGAAAAGCAGCAGGUUAAUACCCCGCUGUUCUGACGGUACCCAAAGAAUAAGCACCGGCUAACUUCGUG